This 261-nucleotide ribosomal RNA is filed under the name uncultured Acinetobacter sp. RNAcentral's name for it is "partial 16S ribosomal RNA". It matches the Rfam family "Bacterial small subunit ribosomal RNA", at positions 355 to 606 of the family's 1533-position model. The record is from RNAcentral. Lineage: Bacteria; Pseudomonadati; Pseudomonadota; Gammaproteobacteria; Moraxellales; Moraxellaceae.
UGGGGAAUAUUGGACAAUGGGGACCGGUAGCCAUCAGCCAUGCCGCGCUGUGUGAAGAAGGCCUUAUGGUUGUAAAGCACUUUAAGCGAGGAGGAGGCUCUUUUGGUUAAUACCCAAGAUGAGUGGACGUUACUCGCAGAAUAAGCACCGGCUAACUCUGUGCCAGCAGCCGCGGUAAUACAGAGGGUGCGAGCGUUAAUCGGAUUUACUGGGCGUAAAGCGUGCGUAGGCGGCUUUUUAAGUCGGAUGUGAAAUCCCCGC